This 244-nucleotide long non-coding RNA is filed under the name Homo sapiens (human). Its description in RNAcentral is "HSALNT0023429". The record is from RNAcentral. Lineage: Eukaryota; Metazoa; Chordata; Mammalia; Primates; Hominidae.
CCAGAAACCUCCCUCUGUCCCUUCCCACAUGCCUACAUCAUACUUAGGUGCUGGCGAUUCAUGGACUGACCUGCAUUAUCCUCUGCAGCGUGGAUGACAAGAGAGAGGCUGAGUCGAGUGAGUCCCUGACAGACUGGAGGCCGAGCCUAUUGAAAUCCCUUUUGGAACCAGGCAAGCAGUAAAUAAAUACAGACAUGAAUAGAUGGAAAUGGAAUUUCUACGACCCAAACACCCACACCAUCAG